UGGGGGAUAUUGCACAAUGGGCGAAAGCCUGAUGCAGCGACGCCGCGUGGGGGAUGAAGGCUUUCGGGUUGUAAACCUCUUUCGCUAUCGAACAAGGCCCGCUUAGGGUGGGUUGAGGGUAGGUGGAGAAGAAGCGCCGGCUAACUACGUGCCAGCAGCCGCGGUAAUACGUAGGGCGCGAGCGUUGUCCGGAAUUAUUGGGCGUAAAGGGCUUGUAGGCGGCUUGUUGCGCCUGCUGUGAAAACGCGGGGCUUAACUUCGCGCGUGCAGUGGGUACGGGCAGGCUUGAGUGUGGUAGGGGUGACUGGAAUUCCAGGUGUAGCGGUGGAAUGCGCAGAUAUCUGGAGGAACCCCGAUGGGGAAGGCAGGUCACUGGGCCAUUACUGAAGCUGAGGAGCGAAAGCAUGGGUAGCGAACAGG
RNAcentral lists this ribosomal RNA (420 nucleotides) under bacterium. RNAcentral's name for it is "partial 16S ribosomal RNA". It matches the Rfam family "Bacterial small subunit ribosomal RNA", at positions 355 to 776 of the family's 1533-position model. The record is from RNAcentral.